RNAcentral lists this ribosomal RNA (250 nucleotides) under Didymium environmental sample. RNAcentral describes it as "partial 18S ribosomal RNA". It matches the Rfam family "Eukaryotic small subunit ribosomal RNA", at positions 28 to 241 of the family's 1831-position model. The record is from RNAcentral. Lineage: Eukaryota; Evosea; Eumycetozoa; Physariida; Didymiaceae.
AUGCUUCUCCUAAAGACUAAGCCAUGCAUGUCUUCGAAUAAGAGGAAGCAAUUCUCUCUGAAUCUGCGAACGGCUCCGCAAACCAGUUGUAAACUAUAGCAAGCAAGUCCGUGCUCCUUCGGGGGUGCGGGCAACAUCGGAUAACCCUGGUAAUUCUGAGGCUAACACAAGAACGUACUCCCCGGCCGACUGGGUAACUGGAAAGUCGGGAGGUAUGUGAUUUGGCACGAGGAACUGCUGGGAAUGGGAC